GCCUUCGUGGUGUAGUGGUUAGCACGCUCGACGCAUAACCGACAGGUUCGUGGUUCGAUUCCCAGCGAUGGCG
Molecule: non-coding RNA, 73 nt
Organism: Stegodyphus mimosarum
Lineage: Eukaryota; Metazoa; Arthropoda; Arachnida; Araneae; Eresidae
Source: Rfam